AUGCUCGCUUCGGCAGCACAUAUACAAAAAUUGGAACAAUACAGAGAUGAGUAUGGCCCCUGUGCAAGGAUGACUCACAAAUUCAUGGUGUUCUGUAUUUUUUA
This is a small nuclear RNA of Myotis myotis, 104 nucleotides long. The record is from RefSeq and is a predicted model, not a curated record. Lineage: Eukaryota; Metazoa; Chordata; Mammalia; Chiroptera; Vespertilionidae.